This is a long non-coding RNA of Triticum aestivum (bread wheat), 436 nucleotides long. RefSeq lists it as uncharacterized. The record is from RefSeq and is a predicted model, not a curated record. The transcript is spliced from 2 exons. Lineage: Eukaryota; Viridiplantae; Streptophyta; Magnoliopsida; Poales; Poaceae.
UCAAGGGAUCCAGCGUAUUAUGGACUAGAUGAAGUUGAAUUCUCCAGACGACGGAACUGGACUGGCUCUGCUCGUAAUCAGAUUGGUACUGUAAAAAGGGCUGUUGAAAAGGGGAAGAGCAAUCCUGCAAUGGCAAGACAUCAGGACAAUGGUACAAGCAGAACUAACUACUAUUCUUCCCAAGACAAUGAUGACUAUAUUGCUUCAGAAUCAGAUAGACAGCUUCUACUCAUGAGGUGAGUUUGCUCACUCUUACUUUUACUGCUCAUAUACUGUUCAAAUAUGUUGGUUAGAAACAUGUGCUCUAAAAAAAGAAACUUAUUAUCUGUUCAAUAUGAGUAGGAUUACUCAAGAUUCCCCUUGUAUGUAAGUAGGCGGUGUUUAAUUUAAAGUUAUGGUGUUCUAUGCAUUGCUAAAAAACUCUGUUACCGCCAAA